AGACGGAGGGUGCUAGCGUUGUUCGGAAUUACUGGGCGUAAAGGGCGCGUAGGCGGCUCUGCGAGUCGGGCGUGAAAUCCCGGGGCUCAACCCCGGAACGGCGCUCGAUACUGCGGGGCUGGAGACCGGAAGAGGGGGGUGGAAUUCCCAGUGUAGAGGUGAAAUUCGUAGAUAUUGGGAGGAACACCGGUGGCGAAAGCGGCUCUCUGGUCCGGUUCUGACGCUGAGGCGCGAAAGCGUGGGGAGCAAACAGGAUUAGAAACCCUAGUAGUCC
RNAcentral lists this ribosomal RNA (274 nucleotides) under uncultured bacterium. RNAcentral describes it as "partial 16S ribosomal RNA". It matches the Rfam family "Bacterial small subunit ribosomal RNA", at positions 523 to 796 of the family's 1533-position model. The record is from RNAcentral.